RNAcentral lists this unclassified non-coding RNA (520 nucleotides) under uncultured Acaulospora. RNAcentral's name for it is "SSU rRNA". It matches the Rfam family "Eukaryotic small subunit ribosomal RNA", at positions 569 to 1090 of the family's 1831-position model. The record is from RNAcentral. Lineage: Eukaryota; Fungi; Glomeromycota; Glomeromycetes; Diversisporales; Acaulosporaceae.
AGCAGCCGCGGUAAUUCCAGCUCCAAUAGCGUAUAUUAAAGUUGUUGCAGUUAAAAAGCUCGUAGUUGAAUUUCGGGACCAAUUUGUUGGUCGUGCCUCGGUACGUACUGGUAUUAUUGGUUUCUCCCUUCUGAAGAACCUCGAUGCCAUUAAUUUGGUGUCGUGGGGAAUCAGGACUGUUACUUUGAAAAAAUUAGAGUGUUUAAAGCAAGCAUACGCUUGAAUACAUUAGCAUGGAAUAAUGAAAUAGGACGUUUGAUUCUAUUUUGUUGGUUUCUAGGAUCGACGUAAUGAUUAAUAGGGAUAGUUGGGGGCAUUAGUAUUCAAUUGUCAGAGGUGAAAUUCUUGGAUUUAUUGAAGACUAACUACUGCGAAAGCAUUUGCCAAGGAUGUUUUCAUUAAUCAAGAACGAAAGUUAGGGGAUCGAAGACGAUCAGAUACCGUCGUAGUCUUAACCAUAAACUAUGCCGACUAGGGAUCGGAUGAUGUUAAUUUUUUUAAUGACUCAUUCGGCGCCUUA